CCAAUAGCGUAUAUUAAAGUUGUUGCAGUUAAAAAGCUCGUAGUUGAACUUCGGGGUUCACCCAUUGGUCAGGCUUAAUUGUCUGUACUGGUGAGAUGAGUCUCUACCUUCUGAGGAACUUUCAUGCCAUUUAUUUGGUGUGAUGGGAAAUCAGGACUGUUACUUUGAAAAAAUUAGAGUGUUUAAAGCAGGCUAACGUC
RNAcentral lists this ribosomal RNA (200 nucleotides) under uncultured Diversispora. Its description in RNAcentral is "partial small subunit ribosomal RNA". It matches the Rfam family "Eukaryotic small subunit ribosomal RNA", at positions 591 to 792 of the family's 1831-position model. Lineage: Eukaryota; Fungi; Glomeromycota; Glomeromycetes; Diversisporales; Diversisporaceae. The record is from RNAcentral.